GACGUGGCAAGCUGCGAUAAGCUUCGGGGAGCCGCAAGCAGGCGUUGAUCCGAAGAUUUCCGAAUGGGGCAACCCUCCGCCAUUCAUCCGGCGGAACCCUGCGCUGAAUACAUAGGUGCAGGGGGCGAUACGCGGUGAAGUGAAACAUCUCAGUACCCGCAGGUAAUAGAAAUAAACCGAGAUUGCCCUAGUAGCGGCGAGCGAACGGGCAACAGCCCAAAUCCAGGUGGUGUCAUAGCUGACACGCGUUGCCGCUUGGAGGUUGUGGGGUCUUCCCGGAGCCUCGUGUCAGAGGCUCGUUUUGGGAGCGCGGAUACUCGAACGGUCUGGAACGGCCGACCAUAGACGGUGAUAGUCCGGUAGGGAAAAUCCGUGGCGCUCGAAAUGGGGAGGAUACCCGAGUACCAUGAGACACGUGGAACCUCAUGGGAACCUGGGACGACCACGUUCCAAGGCUAAAUACGAGUCGGAACCCGAUAGUGCACCAGUACCGCGAGGGAAAGGUGAAAAGAACCCCGGAAGGGGAGUGAAAUAGAACCUGAAACCGACAGCUUACACAGCAGUCCGAGCUCCGCAAGGAGUGAGGGCGUGCCUUUUGCAUAAUGAUCCGGCGAGUUAUUCGGACAAGCGAGUCUAACCCGCGCAGGCGGGGCAGGCGGAGCGAAAGCGAGUCCUAACCGGGCGUUAGCUUGUUCGAAUAGACCCGAAGCUAGGUGAUCUAUCCAUGGCCAGGGUGAACCCGCCGUAACAGGUGGGGGAGGCCCGCACCCAUCAGUGUUGAAAAACUGUGGGAUGAGCUGUGGUUAGGGGCGAAAGACCAAUCAAACCUAGUGAUAGCUGGUUCUCCCCGAAAUAACUCUAGGGUUAGCCUCGGAGCAUCGUUGGUGGGGGUAGAGCUACUGAAUGGGCUAAGGACCACACCAGGUUGCUGAACCCAAUCAAACUCCGAAUACCAUCAACUACUACUCCGGGAGUCAGCGCGUGAGGGAUAAACUUCACGCACGCGAGGGAAACAACCCAGACCAUCGGCUAAGGUCCCAAAGCAUACGCUAAGUGUUAAAGGAUGUUGAGUUACUAAGACAGCCGGGAUGUUGGCUCAGAGGCAGCCAUCAUUUAAAGAGUGCGUAACAGCUCACCGGUCGAGUGAUUCAGCGCCGAUAAUGAUCGGGGCUCAAGCGUAUUACCGACGCCGUGGAUGCGAUAUUUCUACGGAAGUAUUGCGUGGUAGGGGAGCGUACUGUAGUAGGAUGAAGGCGCAUCGUUAGGUGCGCUGGACGAGGCAGUAGUGAGAAUGUCGGAAUGAGUAGCGAUAAGCACCGCGAGAAACGGUGCCGCCGUAAGCCUAAGGUUUCCUGGGGAAGGUUAAUCCGCCCAGGGUGAGUCGGUCCUAAGCUAAGGCCAUUUGGCGUCAGCGAUGGACAUGCCGUUAAUAUUCGGCUACCGCCGGCAAGGCGUUUGAGAUACGAUGAGGACGCAGGAAGCUAGGCCCUCCGGGCAUUGGACGUCCCGGUCAAGAUGUGUAGCCCGCAAGGGUGAGGCAAAUUGGGAGGUUAGGCCACGGCCGAGCCAAACGGGUUGAUGCUACGCUGCCUAGAAAAUUCAUCGUAUCGAGCUUUGUUGGCGACCGUACCGUAACCCAACACAGGUAGGCAAGGAGAACAUCCUAAGGCGUUCGAGAGAACCUCCGUUAAGGAACUCGGCAAAAUGGCCCCGUAACUUCGGGACAAGGGGUACUCGCUGGGGUGAAGCGUACAGCACAGCCCUGGUGAGUCACAGUAAAGAGGGUCAGCCGACUGUUUAGCAAAAACACAGGUCACUGCGAAGUCUUCAAGACAAUGUAUAGUGACUGACACCUGCCCAAUGCUGGAAGGUCAAGGGGAGGCGUCAAUCCGCGCAAGCGAGAUGAAGCGUCGAACUCAAGCCCCAGUGAAUGGCGGCCGUAACUAUAAACCAACCGUUGUAGUUACGUUAAUAAAUCUGGCUAUAUGCUGGAAAAUCCGGUGACCUCAACGUACUCGUUGCAAUAAGCGACAGUAACAAUCGUUGAGUGCGGACAAUCAGCAGGAAAGACCCAAGGAGGCAAGUAUGCAAGAUACGCCGGAACACAUCGGCUACUAUCUUGCGGGCUUUGCGGAUGGAGAAGGCAGUUUCAACGUUUCCUUCCGGCCACGACCUGAUUAUUCAGUGCCGUGGAAAGUCUCCCUCUGUUUUAAUAUCUCCCAAAAAGAUCGCGUAAUACUUGCACUAUUUAAACGACACCUUGGAUGCGGUACGAUCCGAGGACGCCCAGAUGGUGUUUGGUAUUAUGAGGUUAAUAACCUCAACGCGAUCAUCGAGACGAUCAUUCCGUUCUUCAAGAAGUAUCGAUUUCUUUCUGCAAAGAAGAAGCGAGACUUCGCGAAGUUUUGUCAGAUGGCAAAGCUAAUACAAGACAAUGCGCAUUUGACGAAAGAAGGAAUUGAACAAAUUCUCGAGAUUCGACGGGAGAUGAAUGAUGGAGGAAAUCGCCGUUAUGGCGAGCGUGAGAUUCUAGCCAAAAUCAGGGUAUCCUCAGAGACUAUACGCCAGACAGCAAAUGAAAUUAAGCUAGCUGAUGAUAUAGUCCGACCUGCAUAGCAAUAUGCAGAAUGGGUAGUCAAAUCCCAUCGCUCGAAAGAGCAGUAACAGUACGAACGGUCCUAAGGU
This 2685-nucleotide ribosomal RNA is filed under the name groundwater metagenome. RNAcentral's name for it is "bacterial LSU rRNA". The stretch from base 1 to 2051 matches the Rfam family "Bacterial large subunit ribosomal RNA". The record is from RNAcentral.